Molecule: RNA transcript, 1992 nt
Organism: Falco peregrinus (peregrine falcon)
Lineage: Eukaryota; Metazoa; Chordata; Aves; Falconiformes; Falconidae
Gene: TRIP4
Gene name: thyroid hormone receptor interactor 4
Exons: 14
Source: RefSeq, a predicted model, not a curated record
UCCCCCGCGCGGGAGAUGGCGGCGCGCGGCCCGCUCCUGGCCUGGUGCAUCCAGCACCUGCGCGGGGAUUUCGGCCUGGACGUGGGCGAGGAGGUCGUGAGGUAUAUCUUGUCAAUAACAAACGAGGAUGAGAUCCGGGAGUACGUUGUUGACCUCAUUCAGGGGACUGAUGGAAAGAAGAGCUGGUUUGUAGAAGAACUGCUGGCCAGGUGGCGGAAAUCCUCCCAGCUGCCUCCUGAGCCUCUGCCAGCCUAUCGGAAAAAGGAUGAGACUUCUGAAGUGCCUCGGGCUGGAGACCAAGCGAAAAAGGGUAAACGCAAAGGAAGGAACAAGCAGGACACAUCUGCAUAUGCUGAGCCAAGUGCACAUGUAGAGGAAGUAAAAACCCCCCUUGACCUGGCCAAGGCACAGGAGAACAGCAGCGGAAUCAGCAGCAGUAGCAGUUCCUCUAAGAAGAAGACCAAAUAUGUUAGCCUGUAUACCAAGGAGGGGCAAGACAAGCUGGCUGUCCUGAUCCCUGGGCGUCAUGCCUGCGAGUGCCUGGGCCAGAAGCACAAGCUCAUCAACAACUGCUUGGUUUGCGGGCGCAUUGUCUGUGAGCAGGAGGGCUCUGGACCCUGCUUGUUCUGUGGUGCUCUGGUGUGCACUAAAGAAGAGCAGGACAUUCUUCAACGGGACUCAAACAAGAGCCAGAAGUUGCUGAAGAAGCUCAUGGCAGGUGCUGAAAGUUCAGGGAAUUUGGAUACCAUAAGCAAAGACUUACUGCCUCAACAAGAAGCUAGACUCAAAGCAGGUCUGGAGAUGGCUGUGAAACACAAAGACAAGUUGUUGGAAUUUGACAGGACAAGCGUACGUCGAACUCAGGUCAUUGAUGAUGAAUCAGAUUACUUUGCCAUGGACUCCAACCAGUGGCUGUCCAAGCAGGAAAGGGAAGCCCUCCAGAAGAGAGAGCAGGAGCUGCAGGAGCUGCGUCAUGCCUCUCGGCUUUCCAGAAAAAUCACCAUUGACUUUGCUGGCAGGCAGAUCCUGGAGGAAGAUGACAGCAUGGCUGAAUACCACAGCAAACUGGAUGAAACCAUUGAAGCCAUUAAUUGUGGUACACUGAGCAAGCCAGCUGGGGGCCCAGAAGCAAAGACAACUCUGAGUUCUGGUGUUUUAGUGAAUCCCCGUCUUCUUCAGCCUGCUCCUUUGUGGGUGGACCAAACUGGUUUGCUCCCACACAGGAAAGCUGUAUGUUCCAUGGAUGCUGGAAAUGAGUCUGGCUUGGAGCGGAACAGGUUGCGGAUUCAGGAUCGAGAGUUGCAGGAGAUCUCAGAUGAUGGUUGGUGCCUCAGCAUGCACCAGCCUUGGGCUUCCUUGCUCAUAAGAGGAAUCAAAAGGGUGGAGGGCAGGACCUGGUACACAUCUCAUAGAGGGCGGUUAUGGAUUGCAGCUACUGCUAAAAGACCUUCCCCUCAGGAAAUCUCUGAACUGGAGACCACCUACAGAAUGCUGCUCCGCAAAGAUGUGGAUUUUCCAAACGAUUAUCCUUCGGGGUGCCUCCUAGGCUGUGUGGAUAUGACCGACUGUUUAUCACAAGAGCAAUUUAAUGAGCAGUAUCCGGAUCUGAGCCAGGAGUCUGGGUCUCCAUUUGUCUUUAUCUGCACUAAUCCCCAGGAGAUGGUUGUGAAGUUUCCCAUCAAAGGAAAACCCAAAAUCUGGAAGCUGGAUGCAAAGAUCCAUCAGGGAGCAAAGAAGGGGUUAAUGAAGCAGAAAUCGAUGGGGUGAGCCUCGGGGGAGCAGCGCUUUGUUCCCAGGAAGCACCCUGACUGCCACAGAAGGGUGCCAGGAUGAUCCUCAACUCUGGAAAGCAGGUGCAAGACAGAUCCCACAGUUUUUAGCAACGAUGCCGUCACCUGGGAAGACCCUGAUCGCCGGAAGCCCCCCAAGGAUGUAGGUGACCCCCAGGGUGUGGAGGCAGGGAAGAGCCUUGAACCGUGAGGGGCUGUUAAC